GACGAACGCUGGCGGCGUGCCUAAUACAUGCAAGUCGAACGCACAGUUUAUACCGUAGCUUGCUACACCAUAGACUGUGAGUUGCGAACGGGUGAGUAACGCGUAGGUAACCUGCCUGGUAGCGGGGGAUAACUAUUGGAAACGAUAGCUAAUACCGCAUAAUAUUGAUUAUUGCAUGAUAAUUAAUUGAAAGGUGCAAUUGCACCACUACCAGAUGGACCUGCGUUGUAUUAGCUAGUAGGUGAGGUAACGGCUCACCUAGGCGACGAUACAUAGCCGACCGGAGAGGGUGAUCGGCCACACUGGGACUGAGACACGGCCCAGACUCCUACGGGAGGCAGCAGUAGGGAAUCUUCGGCAAUGGACGAAAGUCUGACCGAGCAACGCCGCGUGAGGGAAGAAGGUUUUCGGAUCGUAAAGCUCUGUUGUAAGAGAAGAACGGGUGUGAGAGUGGAAAGUUCACACUGUGACGGUAUCUUACCAGAAAGGGACGGCUAACUACGUG
RNAcentral lists this ribosomal RNA (505 nucleotides) under uncultured bacterium. Its description in RNAcentral is "partial 16S ribosomal RNA". It matches the Rfam family "Bacterial small subunit ribosomal RNA", at positions 28 to 507 of the family's 1533-position model. The record is from RNAcentral.